RNAcentral lists this ribosomal RNA (250 nucleotides) under uncultured bacterium. Its description in RNAcentral is "partial 16S ribosomal RNA". It matches the Rfam family "Bacterial small subunit ribosomal RNA", at positions 524 to 775 of the family's 1533-position model. The record is from RNAcentral.
UACAGAGGGUGCGAGCGUUGUCCGGAAUCACUGGGCGUAAAGGGCGCGUAGGUGGCGCGACAAGUCAGUGGUGAAAGUUCGACGCUCAACGUCGAAUCGGCCACUGAUACUGUUGGGCUUGAGCACUGUAGAGGCUAAUGGAAUUCCGGUGUAGCGGUGGAAUGCGUAGAGAUCCGGAAGACACCGGUGGCGAAGGCGGUUAGCUGGGCAGUUGCUGACACUGAGGCGCGGACAGCGUGGGAGCAACAGG